AUUGAACGCUGGCGGAAUGCUUUACACAUGCAAGUCGAACGGCAGCACGGGGCAACCUGGUGGCGAGUGGCGAACGGGUGAGUAAUACAUCGGAACGUGCCCAAUCGUGGGGGAUAACGUAGCGAAAGUUACGCUAAUACCGCAUACGAUCUACGGAUGAAAGCGGGGGAUCGCAAGACCUCGCGCGAAUGGAGCGGCCGAUGUCAGAUUAGGUAGUUGGUGGGGUAAAGGCUCACCAAGCCAACGAUCUGUAGCUGGUCUGAGAGGACGACCAGCCACACUGGAGCUGAGACACGGUCCAGACUCCUACGGGAGGCAGCAGUGGGGAAUUUUGGACAAUGGGCGCAAGCCUGAUCCAGCCAUUCCGCGUGCAGGAUGAAGGCCUUCGGGUUGUAAACUGCUUUUGUACGGAACGAAACGGUCUGCCCUAAUACGGCGGGCUAAUGACGGUACCGUAAGAAUAAGCACCGGCUAACUACGUG
RNAcentral lists this ribosomal RNA (482 nucleotides) under uncultured bacterium. Its description in RNAcentral is "bacterial SSU rRNA". It matches the Rfam family "Bacterial small subunit ribosomal RNA", at positions 30 to 507 of the family's 1533-position model. The record is from RNAcentral.